GUGGAGGCCGGAGGGGGGUUAAAAAAAAAGCCAGAAUUCGGCAUGACAGUGCCGCUUUAAGUGGCUAGGUUUGCCACAGGCAGUGUGUGAAUAUGGCUAUUUGUGUAGCAUGGCAGUGAGAAUAUGGUAGUUUAUUUGCGUAGCAUGGCAGUGUGUGAAUGUGGCAGAUUGCGUAACAUGGAAUGUGUUAAUGUAGUAGUUUAUUUGCAUAACAUAGCAGUGUGUUUGUACAUUUGUCUUGUAAUCUGCCACCAUGCUCCAUCAGCACAAACAGUCUGAAGAUGGAAUACAUACAGUUCUUUACUGGUAGAAUGU
Non-coding RNA from Pelobates cultripes (western spadefoot toad), 315 nucleotides. The record is from the annotation of a GenBank genome assembly. NCBI's taxonomy places the organism in Eukaryota, Metazoa, Chordata, Amphibia, Anura, Pelobatidae.